CUAGGGCUGCACACUGAACUCCAUCAUACUUCCACCCUGGUAGUGACAGCAGAAGCCAUAAACUUCUGAGCACAGUUUUCUCUAAGUCCAAACUGCUGCCUUUUUCAAUUGUACAGCUCGUCUCCCAGGAGCCAAACACUUGUCUGAUUAAAUCCCACUGGCUUGAACUCAUUCUUCUCUCUCUCUCUUUGACAGCACACCCUUACUCCAUCCCACUCAAGAGGCUGCAGACGGACACACACACAAAAAAAAGGCAAUGCCAGCAAGAUGUGGGAAGUGUUAUUCUUUACAUUUGGAAGCACUUUGUAUGAACUCUGCGUUAGCAAACGGUCUGCAUUUGCCUCAGUUCUCGCUCCUGCCUGAAUUUUUUCUUCUUCCAGCAUUAGUACAAAGCUCUGUCACAUCUGCUAGGAUGAGAACAUAAACAGGAGGCAUUACUGCUGCUCUGGAGAUACUGAAAGAAGGAGCUGCAGCAGGAGCUGUUGUUGAGCAGGAACAUCACUGCAUUUGAUGGCUUUGAUUGAGCCUCUGGGAGACAAGAGAGGGAAGAGGAGGAUGGCCUCCCUCCUGUGCCCUGAGAGAGGAGAUGGUGCAAUGCUCACCUCCUGUGUGCCACAGAGACCUGCUCCCUGCUGGGGAGGAUGGGGGAGACUCCAGAGAAAGAACCACUGCCAGCCCUUAGAUUUAACAGGCUAGAGCUGUUAGAGCACUGCUUGGGCCACCAUAUCCACUUUAACAUGAACAACAGGGGCAAGACAAGCAGCUGAAACUGCAGUCCAACCUGCCUGGCAUCACACAUCCAAGGUCACCUGUGAAGGACAGCAGGACAGCUUCAUCCUGGAAUCACCACUGAGGAACCUGAGCAGCACAGGAGCUGCAGCAGCCAAGCACACAACCAAUUUUCUGUACUUGAAAAGUAGAGAAACUCUGCAAGCCCCUUCCUGCUCCAUUUCUACAACCCCAGGCUCUGAGACUGCCUGCGGCACAUUCUGGCAAAGGGCACUGGAGCCCAUCAGCUCCAACCUGGAAAUGCUGCUUUAGGUUUUUACUGCUCCAGGAGAAAACACAGCAGGUUCAGUCAUUUGCUGCUGCCUGAAAGGGGCUCCUGUGCCCCACUCAUGUCCAUUUAGAGCAGACUAGCUCAAAUGAAUGCUCGGUUACAGCAAGGAGCUCUUCAAAAACCACAUGACAGCUGGCUAAGUUCUAUGAAGGGAAUGUUUCCCCACCUAUUCCACCACGUGAUUCCUUCAAGGAUCCCAAAUGAAGUACUUAAGCAAACAGUAAGACAUCAUUUAACAACUCAGUGUGCCUAAAUUGAUUGUUAGGGCAUCAGUGAGUCAUAAACUGCCAAGUUCAAGCAGCUGCUUUUCUCCUUCUAGGAAUGCCUUCUGCCCAACACACAAAUUUGCAUGGAAGAAGUAGUUUGCAAGCCUGUGACACCAAAGCCUCCUGCAGCAGCAGCCACAGCUGCUGAUUUUGCCAACCACCUCUGCUCAGCAGCUGCUUCAGCAAGACAUUCCUCUCACAUCCCAUCUCUGAAGCACCAAGCUCUUGUGCUUUGCUGGCAUGAGGAUGAAAGGUCCAGAUAACACAGCAGUGGAUUUACAGCCACAAUCACAGGCUUUCUGCAGUCUGAAACACACCUGCAAACAGCGUUUCCUCUGAAGUUUCUUGUUAACAGUUAAGACCUGGAAAACUCAAGGAGACAAGUGAUGAGCUGCCUUUGUCUGCUCCUUGGGAACAGCAGGAAAAGGUGGAGAUAAUACAGGAAGCUUUAAAUUGGUUGUCAGUGUUUGCUCUUCACAGAAAGACAUUUCACAAGUCAUUUGGGUGACUGGCACCUUUGGGUCUCCUCUCCAUGUGCUACAGCACCUGGGAAUAAGAGGAGUCUGAGACCAAGCAAAGAUGUGCCAGAUUCCUUAAAAGGCAUCUCACAUGAUAGAAAUGGCUCAAGUACUAACACAAUGAAUGCUUCCUAUACUAUUUCACCUCAUUGCAAGGGAAAAAACCCUCCAGGAUCUCCUGCAAAUCAAUCCUGGGAAUCCAUUUUUCCUCCUUUUCGCCAUAGUAGCUGAGUUUACAGUCCUGGGCCACGCAGAAGUAGCCAACCUGGCAUAGCUGGAGAACAAAACAGAAUUCCACAUGGGUUUUUAAAGGUCUCCUUUACUGACUUGAUCUUAAAUCACAGCACAGGCUGUCAGUGCUUUUGCCUUAAUGUGCCAAGGAAAGCCACUGGUGCUUCACAGUGGGCACAGAGGGAGAUCAUCUCCAUGAAGUCACCAGGGCCACCUUAGAAGGGACACCGCAGCCAAGGGACAAGCUCUACCAACAGGAGAGGGCAGGCAGAGCCAGCUGGCUGAUUUCAGAGCUGCUGCUGACAGCACGUAUGAUUUGUGCAGCCACAACAACAUUUCUGAAGCCACCAGCUGGUAGCAGCUUACCAGCUAUCAACAGCAGCAAGAUGGAGAGCAAAUUCAUCAGCUACCAAUGGCACUGCUGGGGAAGCCCAUGAAUAUUCAUGCUACUAAAACACAAGUGACUUUUUAAUUUUUUUUUUUAACUAUGAAAGAAAAAUUAUUGGCUUCAAGUAACCCCAAAGCUUUAUAAAUGCUAAUACACCAAAACAACAAAGCCAAAGACGACCAAGAGGACUGUUUCCAUCCAUUCUUCUGGACCAGUGCAUUUGUAUUUCCUAUUUUGCCUCCCUUAAGGAGACCCCCACCCACUUCACUGUAUGGAGCAACCAACUGGUAGAAGUCACACACCUACAGCACAAGGAAGACUUGAUUCAAACAGCUUGCACAUAUUUCAGACUGUAGUUUGCCAAACUUUUUCCCUGUUUUUUUAAAAACCCAGCUUGGAAACAACCAACAAAGGUAGGAAUUCACCAAUUUUUUUUGUAAUCCAUGUGGCUGCACACCUGACACACAGGUGUCUACAGCUGGAGCCAUACUGCCAACAUGGACAACAGGCACACCAGUGAUCCACAUAAAUCUAAACUUAACUUUCAGAGCAGGAACCCAUUUUAGCCCCAAAAAAACCAGAGACAAACACUGCCAAAGCACCCACAUGUCUGCUGGGCACAGUGGGAGAGGGUCAGCUCCCAGUAGGCUCUAAAGCCAGUGAUAAUCACCUUCAAAAUGCAGUGAGCAAGCCUGUCUUGAACUGACUCAUGGGCACAGUAAUCCGGAUUUAUUAAGAUUACUUCUU
Molecule: long non-coding RNA, 3210 nt
Filed under: Ficedula albicollis (Collared flycatcher)
Lineage: Eukaryota; Metazoa; Chordata; Aves; Passeriformes; Muscicapidae
Description: lncRNA (ENSFALG00000027161.1)
Source: RNAcentral